CCCUCAACCAGGACCAGUUUGCCAUGGGUGGCCCUACCACGGGGCAAAUAGCCCCCUCACAAUUUAGCCUCUGGGAUACCUGGGACAUACAAACCCCUCCACCACGAUAAGCUGGUGGGGCGGGGAGCCAUCAGGGUGCAUAAGGGCUAACGGACAUGCAAACCGCAUUGAGAAGUUAAAGCCCAUGUUUGUUGAACCUACAGAGAAGGGCACCUUUAAUGAAGUCAUUGAUGGUUAUUACACCAAAGUCAAUGAUCCCCGAUCCAAAGGAGGAGCCUUCUUUGGUGUGUGUCGAGGGAAGGUGAGGAGGCUGUCCAUGGACUCUGCAAAAGUCCUACAAUGUUUUCUGUUGUCAUGUUUCAG
This is a long non-coding RNA of Oreochromis aureus, 363 nucleotides long. RefSeq lists it as uncharacterized. The transcript is spliced from 3 exons. NCBI's taxonomy places the organism in Eukaryota, Metazoa, Chordata, Actinopteri, Cichliformes, Cichlidae. The record is from RefSeq and is a predicted model, not a curated record.